UACAUUUGAAGGAGUAUUUUUGUUCCCAAAAUACUCCUUCCGGUUUGUCACAAGAAUGUAAUGCUUUUUAAUUAGAAAGAUUAUUAAAAUACCAACUGCGGUGACACAAAUCACCAUAAACCACAAACAUAUAUAGAGAUUGAGACUGAUAUUUAUACUUAGUUAUAUUAAUUCCAAACCAGAGAUAUGAAUACCUGGACAGAGUUUUGUUAAACUUAAAAAAAAAGAGGCUUAAGAAUAUUAGGGCUGUUAAAAAGGUAAAUAACUAUAAUUCUUAAUUUUUUUGUCAAUUUCUGUUUUAAGCAAAGAAUAAUAUAUGUGCAUAUAUUUUAAUAUAUGUGCAAAAUAAACUUUUAUUUGUAAAGAAAUUAAUCAUUUGUUGACAAUAAAUGUUGUUCUUUUAAACUUUCUAUUCAUCAUCCAGAAUUCAGAAACCAGUAUCAAGGUUUCCAUAGAAAUAUUUAGCAGCACAGCUGUUUUCAAAAAUACAAAAAAACAUUUCAGCACCAAAACUGUACGACUUGGAUAGGUUUAUCCUUUUGAAAAGAGCUGAAAAAAAGCUGGUUCUUCACUCAUGCAUGAAACCACUAAUUAAGUGUCCUUUCUGUAGUGCAGGACUAGCCCCUGUCAUUUAACCUUUUUAAAAUACUUCUCCAUAUAAUUAACUGAUUACAGUUAACAGCCGUCCUCACAAAUGCAGCUGUCAUUCAAAACAAAAGCAUCUAAAAUGGGAAUGAACAGCGCAGUGCAGAAUCAUUUAUGAAAUCCUCUAUUCUUAGCGGAAUGAGAAACGAUUCAGCGACAUAAUUACGGGUGUCACUGGGACUGAUUGAUGCCAUUCGGAAGGAACUGAUGGUACCAGCUGUCUGAGAGACAGAGUUAUCUCUAGCAGCUCCCAAUCGCAGUCUGAAUGUUAUUCAAUCACUGGAAAUGUCAGCAAGUUAGCCAGACGCUCAUCAAAAUAUGUGCGAUUGCUCAAUGGCGCAAAAAGAUCUGAAGGAGGCUGAUUAAAAUGAACAAAAUGCGUCAGAGAGCCGCUGAUAUGCUGAUCAUGUCAUUUUAUCGGGUUCCUCCCCAUGCAUGUUUUAAUAUAACUGUCUGGCCCACAUUCUAGCCCUGAAAUUGUGUUGUUUUGAAUAUGUGCCACAUUAUUUUUUUCAAGAAUUCAUAUCAGCAACUCCUCUGUUCUUCAUUAGAUCUUUUCACUAUCAUCUAACUCAGCUCGCCUUUUGAUUCUCUGGACUUUUUGCCAUUUUAUUUAGUCUGUUUGCCCUGUGUCUCAGAAUAAAACCAGAGCUCAGCUGACUAUGUGGCGAUGUCCCCUUUUGGCCAGUGGCGCUGCUGAGAUGGCAGAGGCGGAGAAAGAGGGAGUAAGCCAGACACAGAGAAACAAAAAGAGACUGAGAGAGAACGGCCUGGCGGAGGCCCAGACCUCAUGCCUUCUGUGGCCAAGCUGAGGAACAGCAUUGACAUUCAUCCCAUGCAGGAACUCUACAGGCUUGAGGUUUUCUGCUCUACAACUCCCAACCACCGCGAACAUAUAAUACCUGUAAAUAUGUGCUUGAUUUAAAUAGACACUAAAAAAAGAUUGUUCUUUAAGAGUACUUUACAUGUAACAACAGUUCUAUUUUGAACCAUAUCAUACAAAGAACACUUUUAUGCUGAAAUGGUCAGACUUUAAGGUUCUUUAUUCCCGCCUUUUUGUUUUUCAAAUCCUUAACCUCAUUAGUCAUUUCCUGGAGCUCAGAUAUCCAACUACACAGAAGAUCACUCUCAACAGGAAACGCAUUGAUGAGCAGCUCUAUUCACUAUUCAAUAUUCUCCACUAAAUGCUUCCACAUCCCACAUCCUCAUCAUCUGCAAAAAGAAACUGCCACUCAGUAACACCAAAAUACACAUGAUGAAUUGAAUGGCAUCAUAGUUGACUGGAAAGAUAUUUCACUGGAAACGGGCCUUCAUUCGAUCUAUUUUCUGUUUCUGACUUCUUUAUGCAUGUUCAAAGUCAACUGUCAUUUAUUAAUGUAUUCAUGUAAUAAAUGAAAAUAAAGAGCUCAUCAGAUUACACGGGCAGAGAAAUGACAAACAUACUGAACAAUGGCCUGUUGCUCACAAAUGAGCCUGAUCAUGAAGGAAAGCUAUGCCAUUUUUCUGCCAGUCUGAAUCAAAUAGUUGACUUAAAAGCCAAAAACAUAUAAAUCUAUAAAAAAGCUAAAGAUAUGGAAGAGAAAUAGGCCUAUA
Molecule: long non-coding RNA, 2238 nt
Organism: Carassius auratus (goldfish)
Lineage: Eukaryota; Metazoa; Chordata; Actinopteri; Cypriniformes; Cyprinidae
Exons: 3
Source: RefSeq, a predicted model, not a curated record